Molecule: ribosomal RNA, 486 nt
Filed under: uncultured bacterium
Lineage: Bacteria
Description: partial 16S ribosomal RNA
Rfam family: Bacterial small subunit ribosomal RNA
Source: RNAcentral
AUUGAACGCUGGCGGCAUGCCUUACACAUGCAAGUCGAACGGCAGCACGGGUGCUUGCACCUGGUGGCGAGUGGCGAACGGGUGAGUAAUACAUCGGAACAUGUCCUGUAGUGGGGGAUAGCCCGGCGAAAGCCGGAUUAAUACCGCAUACGAUCUACGGAUGCAAGCGGGGGACCUUCGGGCCUCGCGCUAUAGGGUUGGCCGAUGGCUGAUUAGCUAGUUGGUGGGGUAAAGGCCUACCAAGGCGACGAUCAGCAGCUGGUCUGAGAGGACGACCAGCCACACUGGGACUGAGACACGGCCCAGACUCCUACGGGAGGCAGCAGUGGGGAAUUUUGGACAAUGGGCGAAAGCCUGAUCCAGCAAUGCCGCGUGUGUGAAGAAGGCCUUCGGGUUGUAAAGCACUUUUGUCCGGAAAGAAAUCCUUGGCCCUAAUACGGUCGGGGGAUGACGGUACCGGAAGAAUAAGCACCGGCUAACUACGUG